AGAGUUUGAUCAUGGCUCAGGACGAACGCUGGCGGCGUGCCUAAUACAUGCAAGUCGAGCGGAAUGAAGAAGAAGCUUGCUUCUUCUGAUUUUAGCGGCGGACGGGUGAGUAACACGUGGGCAACCUACCUUGUAGAUUGGGAUAACUCCGGGAAACCGGGGCUAAUACCGAAUAAUCCAUUUUGCUUCAUGGCGAAAUGUUAAAAGGCGGCUUCGGCUGUCACUGCAAGAUGGGCCCGCGGCGCAUUAGCUAGUUGGUAAGGUAACGGCUUACCAAGGCGACGAUGCGUAGCCGACCUGAGAGGGUGAUCGGCCACACUGGGACUGAGACACGGCCCAGACUCCUACGGGAGGCAGCAGUAGGGAAUCUUCCACAAUGGACGAAAGUCUGAUGGAGCAACGCCGCGUGAGUGAAGAAGGUUUUCGGAUCGUAAAACUCUGUUGUAAGGGAAGAACACGUACGAGAGUAACUGCUCGUACCUUGACGGUACCUUAUUAGAAAGCCACGGCUAACUACGUGCCAGCAGCCGCGGUAAUACGUAGGUGGCAAGCGUUGUCCGGAAUUAUUGGGCGUAAAGCGCGCGCAGGCGGUCCUUUAAGUCUGAUGUGAAAGCCCACGGCUCAACCGUGGAGGGUCAUUGGAAACUGGGGGACUUGAGUACAGAAGAGGAAAGCGGAAUUCCAAGUGUAGCGGUGAAAUGCG
RNAcentral lists this ribosomal RNA (703 nucleotides) under uncultured bacterium. RNAcentral describes it as "bacterial SSU rRNA". It matches the Rfam family "Bacterial small subunit ribosomal RNA", at positions 8 to 690 of the family's 1533-position model. The record is from RNAcentral.